Molecule: ribosomal RNA, 466 nt
Filed under: uncultured bacterium
Lineage: Bacteria
Description: partial 16S ribosomal RNA
Rfam family: Bacterial small subunit ribosomal RNA
Source: RNAcentral
GAUGAACGCUGGCGGCGUGCUUAACACAUGCAAGUCGAACGGAAAGGCCAGUGCUUGCCCUGGUGCUCGAGUGGCGAACGGGUGAGUAACACGUGGGUGAUCUGCCCUGCACUUUGGGAUAAGCCUGGGAAACUGGGUCUAAUACCAGAUAGGACCAUGCUUUGGAUGGUGUGGUGGAAAGUUUUUUCGGUGUGGGAUGAGCUUGCGGCCUAUCAGCUUGUUGGUGGGGUAAUGGCCUACCAAGGCGUCGACGGGUAGCCGGCCUGAGAGGGUGUACGGCCCCAUUGGGACUGAGAUACGGCCCAGCCUCCUCGGGGGGGCAGCGGUGGGGAAUUUUGCACAAUGGGGGCAAGCCUGAUGCAGCGACCCCGGGGGGGGGAUGACGGCCUUCGGUUUGUAACCUCCUUUCGAAACUGACAAACCUUUUUGUGCCGGUGGGUUGAAAAGAAGCCCCGGCUAACUCCGU